This 325-nucleotide unclassified non-coding RNA is filed under the name soil metagenome. RNAcentral's name for it is "partial contains 5.8S ribosomal RNA, internal transcribed spacer 2, and large subunit ribosomal RNA". The stretch from base 1 to 120 matches the Rfam family "5.8S ribosomal RNA", at positions 35 to 154 of the family's 154-position model. The record is from RNAcentral.
GAUGAAGAACGCAGCGAAAUGCGAUAAGUAAUGUGAAUUGCAGAAUUCAGUGAAUCAUCGAAUCUUUGAAUGCACAUUGCGCCCCCUGGUAUUCCGGGGGGCAUGCCUGUCCGAGCGUCAUUUCAACCCUCAAGCCCCGCUUGGUGUUGGGCCCCGCCCGCCGUGGCCGGCCCUAAAGACAGUGGCGGCGCCGCCUGGCCCUCAGCGUAGUACAGCUCUCGCUCCAGGGUCCGGCGGCCGCCUGCCAGAACCCCCCCAACUCUGUGGUUGACCUCGGAUCAGGUAGGGAUACCCGCUGAACUUAAGCAUAUCAAUAAGCGGAGGA